This 1422-nucleotide unclassified non-coding RNA is filed under the name Hevea brasiliensis (rubber tree). The record is from RNAcentral. Lineage: Eukaryota; Viridiplantae; Streptophyta; Magnoliopsida; Malpighiales; Euphorbiaceae.
UGGGUCCUUUUAUUUGUCUUGUAGGAGUAAAUGUGUAAAACUUGCUCUUUCUUAAGUGGAAAAUGCAAGUGGAUCACCCAAGAAGAUGUCAGCUACAUCAGCAAGAAGUCGCACUAGGUCUCAUCUAGUUCUUCUCCACUCCCUUACAAUGCUUGCACCGAUUGCAGUAGCUGUAUCUGCGGGUCUUCUGGGUUGGGUUUAUCAGGCACUGAAGCCUCCUCAUCCGAAGAUAUGUGGAUCGCCCGGUGGUCCUCCAGUCACUUCACCCAGAGUCAAACUCAGUGAUGGUAGGCAUUUGGCCUACAGGGAGAUGGGAGUUCCUAAGGAAGAAGCCAAGCACAAAAUUAUAGUCAUUCAUGGCUUUGACAGUUCGAAGGAUCUAAAUUUACCUGUGUCUCAGGAACUUAUUGAGGAGCUGAGCAUGUAUUUCCUUUUCUUCGAUAGAGCAGGGUAUGGAGAAAGUGAUCCAUUUCCAAAGCGUACAGUGAAGAGUGAAGCAUACGAUAUUCAAGAACUAGCAGACAAGUUGCAGAUUGGACCGAAAUUUUACAUAAUUGGAGUCUCAAUGGGAGCCUACCCCAUAUAUGGUUGCCUAAAAUACAUACCACAGAGGUUGGCUGGAGCUUCACUUGUAGUUCCAUUUGUACACUACUGGUGGCCUUGUCUCCCGGCCAAUGUAUCCAGAGAGGGCUUCCAAAGGCUUCAGAAAUGUGAUCAAUGGACAUUUCGAAUUGCACAUCGUGCACCUUGGUUAUUCUACUGGUGGAUGACCCAGAAAUGGUUCCCUUCAUUAAGUAUUAUGGCAGGAAAUAUGGCAAUCUUUUGCCCCCAAGAUUUGGAGAUGAUUAAAAAGUUAUCAGAAACUCCAAGUGUUGGUCUGGUAGCUACAUUGGUCUAUGCAUUAGUUUCUAAUACUGGGAAUUCUUAUGUUGUUUAAUUUCUACUGUAGAGCACAUUUGGUGGCAAUAUUCCAACAAUCUGUUAUGUUUACAGGAAAAGGUUCGGCAACAAGGUGUUCAGGAAUCUCUGCAUCGGGACAUAAUCGCAGGGUAUGCGAAAUGGGAAUUUGAUCCCCUGGACAUAAGUAAUCCUUUCCCUAACAAUGAAGGCUCAGUCCACAUUUGGCAAGGUUAUGAGGACAGAAUCAUUCCUUAUCAAAUAAAUCGUUACAUAUCAGAGAAGCUUCCAUGGAUUCGCUACCAUGAAGUUCCUGAUACUGGACACUUGUUGAUCUUCAGGAGUGAGCUAUGUGAAGAAAUUUUUAGGUCACUUUUGGUUAGAUGAGUUAGUUCUAUCAUUAUAGGGCUACUAUAUAUAGUCUAUACUGCAUCUGUUUGUGAAACUGUUCAAUGCUAUUCCCUGCAAAUAAAAUUUCUCAUAUUGUCCCUGUUAUAGUAGGUACGUAAAUCUAAGGCGCGCAUA